RNAcentral lists this transfer RNA (88 nucleotides) under Alphaproteobacteria bacterium CG11_big_fil_rev_8_21_14_0_20_39_49. RNAcentral's name for it is "tRNA-Leu". It matches the Rfam family "tRNA". Rfam says of the family: Transfer RNA (tRNA) molecules are approximately 80 nucleotides in length. Their secondary structure includes four short double-helical elements and three loops (D, anti-codon, and T loops). Further hydrogen bonds mediate the characteristic L-shaped molecular structure. tRNAs have two regions of fundamental functional importance: the anti-codon, which is responsible for specific mRNA codon recognition, and the 3' end, to which the tRNAs corresponding amino acid is attached (by aminoacyl-tRNA synthetases). tRNAs cope with the degeneracy of the genetic code in two manners: having more than one tRNA (with a specific anti-codon) for a particular amino acid; and 'wobble' base-pairing, i.e. permitting non-standard base-pairing at the 3rd anti-codon position. Lineage: Bacteria; Pseudomonadati; Pseudomonadota; Alphaproteobacteria. The record is from RNAcentral. RNAcentral also lists the same sequence under 2 other names.
GCCUGCGUGGCGGAAUCGGUAGACGCUGCAGACUUAAAAUCUGUUGUCCUUUUUGGACGUGCCGGUUCAAGUCCGGCCGCGGGCACCA